RNAcentral lists this transfer RNA (69 nucleotides) under Aegotheles cristatus. RNAcentral describes it as "tRNA-Ala". It matches the Rfam family "tRNA". Rfam says of the family: Transfer RNA (tRNA) molecules are approximately 80 nucleotides in length. Their secondary structure includes four short double-helical elements and three loops (D, anti-codon, and T loops). Further hydrogen bonds mediate the characteristic L-shaped molecular structure. tRNAs have two regions of fundamental functional importance: the anti-codon, which is responsible for specific mRNA codon recognition, and the 3' end, to which the tRNAs corresponding amino acid is attached (by aminoacyl-tRNA synthetases). tRNAs cope with the degeneracy of the genetic code in two manners: having more than one tRNA (with a specific anti-codon) for a particular amino acid; and 'wobble' base-pairing, i.e. permitting non-standard base-pairing at the 3rd anti-codon position. The record is from RNAcentral. Lineage: Eukaryota; Metazoa; Chordata; Aves; Caprimulgiformes; Aegothelidae.
AAGGCUCUAGCUUAAUUAAAGUGUCUGAGUUGCAUUCAGUUGAUGUAGGUUAAGGACCUACGGGCCUUA